RNAcentral lists this ribosomal RNA (253 nucleotides) under uncultured bacterium. RNAcentral describes it as "partial 16S ribosomal RNA". It matches the Rfam family "Bacterial small subunit ribosomal RNA", at positions 524 to 776 of the family's 1533-position model. The record is from RNAcentral.
UACGUAGGGUGCGAGCGUUAAUCGGAAUUACUGGGCGUAAAGCGUGCGCAGGCGGUUCGUUAAGUUCGAUGUGAAAGCCCUCGGCUCAACCGAGGAAGUGCACCCGAAACUGCUGAGCUUGAGUGCCGGAGAGGAUGGCGGAAUUCCCCAAGUAGAGGUGAAAUUCGUAGAUAUGGGGAGGAACACCGGUGGCGAAGGCGGCCAUCUGGACGGUAACUGACGCUGAGACGCGAAAGCGUGGGGAGCAAACAGG